GACGAACGCUGGCGGCGUGCUUAACACAUGCAAGUCGAGCGGUAAGGCCCUUUCGGGGGUACACGAGCGGCGAACGGGUGAGUAACACGUGGGUGACCUGCCCUCAGCUCUGGGAUAAGCCUGGGAAACCGGGUCUAAUACCGGAUAUGACUCCAUGACGCAUGUUGUGGGGUGGAAAGCCUUGUGCGGCUGAGGAUGGGCCCGCGGCCUAUCAGCUUGUUGGUGGGGUGAUGGCCUACCAAGGCGACGACGGGUAGCCGGCCUGAGAGGGCGGUCGGCCACACUGGGACUGAGACACGGCCCAGACUCCUACGGGAGGCAGCAGUGGGGAAUCUUGCGCAAUGGGCGAAAGCCUGACGCAGCGACGCCGCGUGAGGGAUGACGGCCU
Molecule: ribosomal RNA, 388 nt
Filed under: uncultured bacterium
Lineage: Bacteria
Description: bacterial SSU rRNA
Rfam family: Bacterial small subunit ribosomal RNA
Source: RNAcentral